This is a long non-coding RNA of Herpailurus yagouaroundi (jaguarundi), 1628 nucleotides long. RefSeq lists it as uncharacterized. The record is from RefSeq and is a predicted model, not a curated record. Lineage: Eukaryota; Metazoa; Chordata; Mammalia; Carnivora; Felidae. The transcript has 3 exons.
UCACUGCAGAUGCGGGGCGGCACUGAGAGGAUUUAAGGGCCGGAAUUUAAGGGUGCGCAGUGCUCGUGCGUGGGCACAGUGCUGACGCCAGGCUGGUGGGGAGUGUGAGGGGAGGACCAGCGAGGACGCUGUCUGAGCCGUGUCUGGGUUGUGACAUCCACGGGGACAGGGUGCAGAGCUCCUUCCUGGUCCCAACGUACAACAGGAGUGACGUGGCGUAGACUGCGUGGGUGAGCGUGGCCUGCAGAACCACACACGGCCGGUCACGCCGGGUGACUCCGUGGGGAUAAUAUCACCCCAGGUUAAGUGUCUUCAUCCGUGAUUGCAAACACGAGAGCCUCCUCGCGGCCAACGCAAGGACUGAGCCCAGAGCCCGGUAGACGGCGGUCAUCCAGGGGACGGCAGGGGACGGCUGCCAUCCCAUCAUCAAAGCCAGCCUGUGGGUGCCCACCUCCGCUGAGGGACAGAUAACAGCGUGCCUGCUUGCUGACGGGAAAAACCCAGUAGGAAAACAACAGAGCCAGGGAAACAAGCAGCGAUUUGUUGGAGGAACACCGUUGAGCAGGCGGGAUGAGACGGGCCUGGUGCACACGAGGGCGUCUGCUUUGUCUCGGACAAGGACAGUCAUUGCGGUCGGUCGUCAGGACGGAAGGCAGGGCUGUGGGCACAGAUGGGGACAUAGGUACCUUGUUCUGACUGCCCCGGCUCUCCGGGAGGCCAGAGGAGGGGCCGCCCGAGGACACAGCGGGAAGGCGGCAGUGGCGAGCCCAGGCGAGUCCUCACCGCGAAGCAGUCCUGAGGACACCUCGACCUUGGACCCCCAGCCGCCGGGACCGUGAGAAAACCGGUGUCCGGUGUUUCAGCUGCCUGUGUGGUGUUUGUCAGGGGGCCGGGCUACUGACUUCAGGGUGACCGCUCGGUCUGGACAACGAGGGCCCCGAGCCUGUCACUUGGACCGGUGUUCAGGUGACCUUGGUUUGAGGGGCAUCCUCGCACCCCCACCCGAAGCACCGGGGCGUCACCGUCCGCGGGCGAGUGUCGUCCACCAGCAUCUCCCGCUGCUGGACCAGGAGGGGCCACGUUCCCACCGCUACUCAAGCCGCACCCCACGCCGGCUGUGGCCACAGGGACUCCUGUGCCCCCGUCCGGGUCCGGGCUGCCAGCACCGGGGCAAGGAAUGCCCAGUAGGGACCCUGGACACUUGCACGGGAACGGGGUGUCGCCGAGCAACCUGCCACCCUUGGAGAGUUGCCACAGGGCAUCUGCAGGCGGCCCCGGAGCGGGAGGGUCGGCAGAGCGUGGCCCUGGGUUAACGCGGGGUUUGCGGUGUUGUGGACCCGACGGGCACGUUCGCUGUGAUCUUAAUCGUCCGCCCUCUGUGUCGGUCUCACGCCACCGAGGCCGAUGCCCAUGGUUUCCUCCCGCGUUCGAGGGCCGGGAGAGCCGCCGUGCGCUGGGAGGCCUGGCCUCUGCGGCUGCCACGUCGCUCGUAGCUUCUGGCAGCAGGAGCCCCGGUCAGCUGGCGUCACCCCAGCACGGCAGGAAGUCUCUCAGUGUUCGUUUUUUUCCCUCACAGACGAAAAAUCUGACUCCAGAAGGAUUUCCAGGAAUUACAGUAUAAGAACGUA